UUGCUAUGAUGACUACUUAGGACACCUAUGAAGUACUACAAUAAUGUAAUCACUCACUAUACUGAGCAAU
Non-coding RNA from Biomphalaria glabrata, 70 nucleotides. Lineage: Eukaryota; Metazoa; Mollusca; Gastropoda; Planorbidae. The record is from Rfam.